RNAcentral lists this transfer RNA (89 nucleotides) under Halobellus salinus. RNAcentral's name for it is "tRNA-Ser". It matches the Rfam family "tRNA". Rfam says of the family: Transfer RNA (tRNA) molecules are approximately 80 nucleotides in length. Their secondary structure includes four short double-helical elements and three loops (D, anti-codon, and T loops). The record is from RNAcentral. Lineage: Archaea; Methanobacteriati; Methanobacteriota; Halobacteria; Halobacteriales; Haloferacaceae.
CGUUGCGGUAGCCAAGCCUGGCCCAAGGCGCAGGGUUGCUAACUCUGUGGCGUUCACGCCUCCGGGGUUCGAAUCCCCGCCGCAACGUC